This 77-nucleotide transfer RNA is filed under the name Candidatus Moraniibacteriota bacterium. RNAcentral describes it as "Candidatus Moranbacteria bacterium (sediment metagenome) tRNA-Val". It matches the Rfam family "tRNA". Rfam says of the family: Transfer RNA (tRNA) molecules are approximately 80 nucleotides in length. Their secondary structure includes four short double-helical elements and three loops (D, anti-codon, and T loops). Lineage: Bacteria; Candidatus Moraniibacteriota. The record is from RNAcentral.
GGACGAUUAGCUCAGUUGGUUAGAGCGUUCGCUUGACGUGCGAAAGGUCAGUGGUUCGAGUCCACUAUCGUCCACUA